GUUAAGUCCGGCGCCGGAGCGGCGGUAAUCCGGAAGGGCCGUGUGUUAUUCUGGUGUAGUGGGUUUAAAGGGGGCGUAGGCCGGUUUGUAAGCCAGCAGUGAAAGGUAGAUGCUCAACAUCUGAGUUGCUGUUGGAACUGCGGACCUUGAGUGCGCGCAAGGGCGGCGGAAUUUGUGGUGUAGCGGUGAAAUGCUUAGAUAUCACGAAGAACCCCGAUUGCGAAGGCAGCUGCCCGGAGCGCAACUGACGCUGAAGCUCGAUGGUGCGGGUAUCGAACAGGAUUAGAUACCCGAGUAGUC
RNAcentral lists this ribosomal RNA (300 nucleotides) under uncultured Enterococcus sp. RNAcentral's name for it is "bacterial SSU rRNA". It matches the Rfam family "Bacterial small subunit ribosomal RNA", at positions 496 to 795 of the family's 1533-position model. The record is from RNAcentral. Lineage: Bacteria; Bacillati; Bacillota; Bacilli; Lactobacillales; Enterococcaceae.